GGGAUGGGGCUCAGCGGUACAGCACUUGCCUUGUACAUGCAAGGCCCUGGGUUCGAUCCUCAGCACCACA
Molecule: transfer RNA, 70 nt
Filed under: Marmota monax (woodchuck)
Lineage: Eukaryota; Metazoa; Chordata; Mammalia; Rodentia; Sciuridae
Description: tRNA.Thr
Source: RNAcentral